UACGUAGGGUGCGAGCGUUGUCCGGAAUUAUUGGGCGUAAAGAGCUCGUAGGCGGUCUGUCGCGUCUGCUGUGAAAACUCGGGGCUUAACCCCGGGCCUGCAGUGGGUACGGGCAGACUAGAGUGCGGUAGGGGAGACUGGAAUUCCUGGUGUAGCGGUGAAAUGCGCAGAUAUCAGGAGGAACACCGGUGGCGAAGGCGGGUCUCUGGGCCGUAACUGACGCUGAGGGGCGAAAGCAUGGGGAGCGAACAGG
This 253-nucleotide ribosomal RNA is filed under the name uncultured bacterium. RNAcentral describes it as "partial 16S ribosomal RNA". It matches the Rfam family "Bacterial small subunit ribosomal RNA", at positions 524 to 776 of the family's 1533-position model. The record is from RNAcentral.